Molecule: ribosomal RNA, 165 nt
Filed under: Rhynchanthera grandiflora
Lineage: Eukaryota; Viridiplantae; Streptophyta; Magnoliopsida; Myrtales; Melastomataceae
Description: 5.8S ribosomal RNA
Rfam family: 5.8S ribosomal RNA
About the family: 5.8S ribosomal RNA (5.8S rRNA) is a component of the large subunit of the eukaryotic ribosome. It is transcribed by RNA polymerase I as part of the 45S precursor that also contains 18S and 28S rRNA. Functionally, it is thought that 5.8S rRNA may be involved in ribosome translocation.
Source: RNAcentral
AAAUGACUCUCGGCAACGGAUAUCUCGGCUCUUGCAUCGAUGAAGAACGUAGCGAAAUGCGAUACUUGGUGUGAAUUGCAGAAUCCCGCGAACCAUCAAUUCUUUGAACGCAAGUUGCGCCUGAAGCCAUUCGGCCGAGGGCACGCCUGCCUGGGUGUCGUGAAU